GACGAACGCUGGCGGCGUGCUUAACACAUGCAAGUCGAACGGAAAGGCCCUGCUUCUGUGGGGUGCUCGAGUGGCGAACGGGUGAGUAACACGUGAGUAACCUGCCCUUGACUUUGGGAUAACUUCAGGAAACUGGGGCUAAUACCGGAAAGGAGCUCAUGCUGCCUGGUGGGGGUUGGAAAGUUUCGGCGGAUGGGGAUGGACUCGCGGCUUAUCAGCUUGUUGGUGGGGUAGUGGCUUACCAAGGCUUUGACGGGUAGCCGGCCUGAGAGGGUGACCGGCCACAUUGGGACUGAGAUACGGCCCAGACUCCUACGGGAGGCAGCAGUGGGGAAUAUUGCACAAUGGGCGGAAGCCUGAUGCAGCAACGCCGCGUGCGGGAUGACGGCCUUCGGGUUGUAGACCGCUUUCGCCUGUGACGAAGCGUGAGUGACGGUAAUGGGUAAAGAAGCACCGGCUAACUACGUG
This 468-nucleotide ribosomal RNA is filed under the name uncultured bacterium. RNAcentral describes it as "partial 16S ribosomal RNA". It matches the Rfam family "Bacterial small subunit ribosomal RNA", at positions 28 to 507 of the family's 1533-position model. The record is from RNAcentral.